This 28-nucleotide small RNA is filed under the name Bombyx mori (domestic silkworm). RNAcentral's name for it is "piRNA piR-bmo-1385688". The record is from RNAcentral. Lineage: Eukaryota; Metazoa; Arthropoda; Insecta; Lepidoptera; Bombycidae.
UGCUUAGAGUCUGCAACGGAAUACGGUC